This 301-nucleotide ribosomal RNA is filed under the name uncultured bacterium. RNAcentral describes it as "partial 16S ribosomal RNA". It matches the Rfam family "Bacterial small subunit ribosomal RNA", at positions 509 to 807 of the family's 1533-position model. The record is from RNAcentral.
CAGUAGCCGCGGGAAUACGAAGGGGGCUAGCGUUGUUCGGAAUUACUGGGCGUAAAGCGCACGUAGGCGGAUAUUUAAGUCAGGGGUGAAAUCCCGCAGCUCAACUGCGGAACUGCCUUUGAUACUGUCGAUCUGGAGUAUGGAAGAGGUGAGUGGAAUUCCGAGUGUAGAGGUGAAAUUCGUAGAUAUUCGGAGGAACACCAGUGGCGAAGGCGGCUCACUGGUCCAUUACUGACGCUGAGGUGCGAAAGCGUGGGGAGCAAACAGGAUUAGAUACCCCGGUAGUCCCUGUCUCUUAUAC